This is a long non-coding RNA of Oncorhynchus keta (chum salmon), 1864 nucleotides long. RefSeq lists it as uncharacterized. NCBI's taxonomy places the organism in Eukaryota, Metazoa, Chordata, Actinopteri, Salmoniformes, Salmonidae. The record is from RefSeq and is a predicted model, not a curated record. The transcript has 5 exons.
GUGUGUGUGUACAGUGCUCAUGAAAUGUAUGUGUGUCAAGGAAACGUGGAUAUUGGUAAUGUCUGCUUUAGGCCCAGGUGUUUCCUGUCUUUGCAGGAGUGCAUGCUGGGUUCAAUGUCAGUGAGAUAGCUUGGCACUUCUAAGCUCGUUAUUGUUGCAGGCUGCUCUUUGUAGUUUUACAGGGGAGUAGUAUAUUUGCGUGAUGGCAGCUGUGUGUCCUUCGGAUAAUCAUGUUAUUGCACACAGGCUCUAGACUUGACUGUAACCAGAGCUUUGGUCUGCUAGUAACGCUUCAUAUUAGAUUAUUUAUAUAACAGCACUUCUGAUGACUUAUUAUGACGUCUGACGAGUUGACACUUGCAGGGCGAGGGAAGAGUAAAUUCAUUUUAAAUUGACCGCUCUUGCCCAGAAAUUUGUCAGUCGUUCAUCGCACGGUUGUGUUUUCAGUCAUCAUGAAACAGUUGUGUGCGCUACAGUUAAUUAUGAUUGCAUUUCGUAUCUUGGCUAGAAGACAACGCAUCCGCAGACAUCGAAUGUUAGCCAUUCUACUAUCAGACACUGGGCUGAGGACGUGUGGGAGGACUGCAUCACAAAUACAUGGGUUAGAUUCAUCUUAAUCUUUGGCUGCAUUCAUCCUGAAGGCGGAGGGCGCCUCUCAGUAGAGACCGAGGUGGAAAUAAUGCGAUUCGGAUACGUACCGACCUUCCUACAACAAGAGUCAACAGUCUUUGAGCCCAGCCUUGUACCAAAGACAUUUUGAUAAGAAUGCCCCAGUGGAUGAGUGGAUGCUGGCAGCAAUGACCCAAGCAAGAUGCAGUACAGCACCAACAACUGUUGCAGCGGGAGCUGCCUAGAGAAGUCCUACAAGGUGCAGUGAGUUGGAUUCAUCUUCACAUGAAAUCCACAUAACUCAUCAACUGGAACAGCAUGCAUGAAUGUUAGUGUACCACUUCAUUCAGGAUCCGCUGCUGAAAGGACAGCGCUGUUUCAUCUUGGCUGACGACUUCUAUGAAUGGAAGCAGGAGAAAGACAAGCAGCCCUUCAUCUAUUUCAGCAGCGUAGCCUAGUGGUUAGAGCGUUGGACUAGUAACCGUAAGGUUGCGAGUUCAAACCCCGAGCUGACAAGGUACAAAUCUGUCGUUCUGCCCCUGAACAGGCAGUUAGCCCACUGUUCCCAGGCCGUCAUUGAAAAUAAGAAUAUGUUCUUAACUGACUUGCCUGGUUAAAUAAAGGUAAAAUUAAAAUUUUCCCCCAGACUCAAGGACCCACUCAUGUGAAAACAGAGGACCAGGAUGAGGGGACACCCUAUAAGGAGGAUACAGACAUGCAUGUCUGAAGAAGGCUCUGUAGACCUGGAAGAGGACAAAGGUGUCUGUGAGUGGAGAGGAUGGCUGUUGCUGACCAUUGCAGGACUGUUUGACUGAUGGAGUCCCCAUAGUGGAGAUCCCCUCUAGACCUACACUGUGAUCACUCUGGGUACAUCCCCUAUCAUCAAGGCAUCCAUGACCGGAGCUCAAGCCCUCAGCUGGCAGUAAGAUGAUGAUGGGCUGGCUAAAGAGCAGCACACCCUCCAAGAGGAAAGAGCCAGACACUGGGGAAGUCAAACAGGAGGGCCACACAGGAGAAACCAGGCCUGAGAAGCAGCCGAAGACUGCAGGGCCUCUCCAACAGUGGCUGCAAGGACCCAUUAAGAAACCCAGGACCAACUGAGUGGUUGGGACAAACAUUGACUGACUUUGAAAAGAGAUGGGAACAGACUGAAGAAUGUAUGUCUUAUUGUCUUGAGGUGGAAGAGCGCAAAUGGUUUGAUUAUUUUUUAUGUCUGGUGUUGGUUGAAGAUAAUGUAAUUAAACGUUUGACAGAU